AUUUGGUUUAUGGUUUUAUUUAGGGAUUAGGGUUUGAUUAGGGUUUAAUUUAGGAUUUAGGAUUUAUUUUAGAUUUGGUUUAGGAUUUAGGGUUUGGAUUAGGAUUUGGUUUAGGAUUUAGGAUUUGGAUUAGGGUUUGGUUAGGGUUUGAUUUAGAAUUUGGUUAGGAUUCGGUUUAGGAUUUGGUUGGGAUUUGGUUUAAGGUUUAUUUAGGAUUUGAUUUAGAUUUUAGGAUUUUAUUAGGAUUUAAGAUUCAAUUUGUUUUGGCCUAAAGUUUGAAUGAAGUUCAAUAGGAUUUUAACUAGAAUUAAAUUAAGAUUGAAUUGAGAUGUAUUUGAGUGAUAUUUGUAAUCCAUUGUCAAGGACAAGAACUCGAUGAAAGCUAAAGAGUAAGUGAGACUUUUCUCAAAAAGAAAUAGGACAAAAUAGAAAUAUGUAUAUUAAGAAAGAAACUGGAAUGGCUAUUGCCAAAAUACAAGAAAACUAGAGACCCUUGAAACUAGACUAGAAGCAAGAAAGGAGUUGACAAGAGUGAAGAGGACUUCACUCUUGCCUCUAUAUAUAUUAUCUAACUAGAAGCCAUGUGGCGAUGUUCUAUAAGACCUCCAAUAUAUGUUGACUUUCUAGGCCACAUGCCUUUGCUUGCAAGGCAAGUUUUCUAUGGAUGGACCACGUAGUUAGCUUGUUCUUUAAGCUUCCAACAUGCGUGGCACAUGGCUAACUUGUUGACCAAGUUUCUAACCUAAAAGUCAACUAUAGACUCCUAUAAAGUCAAAGCAGCAUCUAUGAAGCUUCUAAGAAGCUUCUCUAGAAGAUAUUACAUAAUUAACCUACUUUUAUCUACUUUUACAUACUUUUAUCUAUUCAUAUAGGUAAUUAUAUGUAUGUCCGUGACAUUACCCCCCCUUCUAGGGACGAGUUCCACGAGGAGCGGUGAUUAUAUAUUGAGAAAAUCUAAUAUGCGGCGAAUUGUAUUUGCUACAUACUCUGAUCUUUGUUCUCUUCGAAGAUAGUUGAUGGGUCCUCUUAGCCAUCGAUAGUGUCCCAUUCCAGGGCGAGAAGACCACCCUGUUAUUUGAUCACUGUUGAGGCCUUCAUAACUUCCUCAAUCUUGUCUCUUUUAUAAGAGAGGUUUUCAUCUUGGUUUUGAUGGAUGUCGUUGAUGAAAAACUUUGACUUUAGCUGAUGCAUUUGCUAGAUUCCUGGAUGGCUCCCAUGUGCGCUCACUAAUAUCAUAUCCGCACCAAUGAACAAGAUAUUCCAUCUUAUUUCGGCGCCGCCUUGAGUCUAAUAUCUCUUCCACCUCAAAUUCUUCAUUAUUAUCUACUUCUAUAGGAGGCGGUGGCAUUUGUCUUCUUCCUUGUAUAUCCACUGUCUUAUAUGGUUCAAGAAGAGACACGUGGAAUAUAGGAUGGAUCUUCAUUGACUCCGGUAGAUGUAACCGAUAUGCAACUGGGUUGAUCUGUUCAGAAACAGAAAAGGAGCCAAGCCUACGAUAGUCCAAUUUGUCACAAGGUCGAGUGGUCUUGAUAUUGCGACGAAGUAGCCAUACCUUAUCACCCACGUUGAGUUGUGGUUGCUCUUUACGAUAUACAUCUGCAUUUAUCUUUUGUCGUUCUUGAGCUUUCUUCAACUGCGCCUUCAUUAUUGCAUGUAACUCUGACAACCGAUUUGCCAUAUCUUCUGCUGCAGGAUUAUCAACUUUUGAAAAAUCAAAAGUAUCAAGUCGUGGAUGAUAGCCAUAAUUGGCAAAGAAAGAUGUUUGUUGCGUGGAAGAAUGUACCGUAUUAUUAUAAGCAAACUCUGCCAAUGGCAGAAGGUUUGUCCAAUCAUCUUGUUGGUAGUUGAUGGUACACCUUAAAUACUGUUCCAAGACUUGGUUUACGCGCUCUGUUUGUCCAUCAGUUUGAGGAUGGAAAGCUGAAGAUAGCUUUAUGUCCACUUUUAAAAUCUUGAAAAGAGUCCUCCAAAAUCUCGACACAAAUUGAGUUCCCCUAUCCGAUAUGAUAUCUUUAGGCAAUCCAUGAUAGCGAUAGAUAUUAUCAAUGAAAAGCUUAGCUGUUUCUUCACCUGUGAUAGAUUUUGUACAUGGCAUAAAAUGUGCCAUCUUCGUAAAACGAUCUACUAUCACAAAUAUAGAAUCAUAAGAUCUUGAGUUUGGAAGAUCUGUGAUGAAAUCCAUAGAAACAGAAGACCAUGGUUGUUCUGGUAUAGGUAAUGGCUGAAGAAGUCCGUAAGGUCGAUGUCGAGGAAUUUUUGAUCUUGAACAAAUAUCACAUGAUUGUACAAGGUCUUUGACUGACUUCCACAUUUGUGGCCACCAAAAAUCUCUUGAUAUGAGUUCCAAAGUCUUAUUAUAUCCAAAGUGCCCUGCUGCUGGAAAGUCAUGACGUGCUUGAAGAACACGCAAACGUGCUUUUUCUUCUGGAACAUAUAGGCGUCCUUUAAAAUAUAAUAGAUUAUUCUUGAACUCGAACUUAGAAGAAUCAUGAGACUUGGAAGAAUUAUUCUCGAUAUCAUGAACAAGAGGGUCUGAGGACAUACUGGACUGGAUUUGCUUGAGAAAAGUUGAAUCAACAGUCAAUGUUGAUUUCAUUGCUCGGAGAUGAAAUUGCUCCGGUUUCAAGAGGACCGUUCUUUGUUGCUCAAAAGCUGCAUCUCCUUCUUUUGGUGCAAAAUAAGAACGUCUAGACAGGGCAUCGGACAAACCUUGUUGUUUUCCUGGCCGAUAAGUGAUAAUGAAGUCGAAUCUUGACAAAGACAUACUCCAACGAGCUUGACGACGAUUCAACACGCGUGCUGACAUGAAAUACUCGAGGUUCUUGUGAUCUGUAUACACAAUGACUGGACUAGAAGCACCUUCUAGAUAAUGACGCCAUUCUUGAAAAGAAUCCACGAUUGCAAGAAGUUCUUUAUCGUGGAUCUCAUAAUUGAUCUCGGCUGCUGAGAAUUUUCUUGAAUGAAAAGCUAUCGGAUGAAGUUUGUCAUCUGUUCCCAUUUGUGAUAAAACAUUCCCAAGGCAAAAUCCGAUGCGUCUGUUUCCAUAAAAAAUGCCUUGGAAAAGUCAACACGAUAUAAGACUGGUGCAGAGACAAACGAUGUCUUCAAGGCUUCAAAUGCUGCUUCCGCUUCUUGAUUCCAUUGAAAUUUAUCUUUACUAGUCAAGCAUGUAAGUGGAGCUGCAACUCGUGAGAAGUCUUUGAUGAAGAUCCGAUAGUAAUUGGCAAAUCCCAAGAAACAUUGGACAUCUCUUACAGUCUUUGGAAUCUUCCAAUCCAUGAUUGUUUGGACUUUCUUAGAAUCCAUCAUAAGACCAUCAUUUGAAAUGAUGUAUCCUAAAAAGUCAACUUGAGUAGUGUGAAAUACACACUUUUCCAUCUUGGCGUACAAUCCUGCAUCUCUGAGUUUUUGUAAUACUUGACGAACAUGUAUUUCAUGUUCUUCAACAUUCUUAGAAUAAAUCAGGAUAUCGUCUAGGUAGCAGACGACAAAAUUGUCUAAGAAUUCACGAAAUACAUCAUUCAUGAGAUGUUGAAAAGCAGCUGGUGCAUUCGUGAGUCCAAUAGGCAUGACAUUAUAUUCAAAAUGCCCGUACCUGGUUCGAAACGCAGUCUUCCAUUCAUCUCCUUCUUUGAUCCGUACUAGAUUAUAUGCUCCUCUUAGAUCUAUUUUUGUAUAGAUCUUAGCUUGAUUUAACUGGUCAAGGAGUCCUGAUAUCAAAGGUAAUGGAUACCUGUUCUUGAUUGUGAUCUUGUUGAGUCCUCGAUAAUCAACACACAUUCGUAAAGAUCCAUCUUUUUUCUUUACGAAUAGAAUUGGAGCUCCUGCUGGAGAUUUUGAAUGGCGUAUGAAAUUCUUCGCUAAAUUCUCGUCAAUAUAUGUCUUGAGUUCAGCCAACUCAUCUUGCGAUAAACUGUAAAUUGGUCCAAAUGGUGGCUGAGUUCCUUCCUUGAGAUCGAUUGAACAAUCGUAUGGGCGAUGCUCAGGAAGAAUAUCUGCAUUCUUUUUCUCAAAAACGUCUUGAUAAUCCUGAUAUUGACUUGGAAUGCCUCUUGAAGUCUUUACGCUUUCAGAAAUAGGUGCAGCAUAAAUAGCAAAAGUUGAUCCUUCUUUUGCUGCGUGUAUAAAUGCUUUUGCACCUAUAGGUGCGAGUUUUACUAUACUAGACUCAUGGUUUUUUACUUGGUUAAUAGAACUGUUACUAAUGCUCUGAGGAAAAUCAAGUUUACGAGAAAUCCAAUCUAUUCGAGGAUUAUACUUUUCUAACCAUGAUAAGCCUAAAAUUACUGGAUUAGAGGGAGAUCUAAUUAUAUUAAAAAUUACGCAACUACUAUGACCAUUUAUUACUACAUCUACAGGAAGUGUUUCGUGAGUUACAUCUCCAGAAGACAACGGACGACCAUCUAUGACUUCUACGUGUACAGGUUUAGUUUUUUGUAUUAAUGAUAUUCUAUGACAUCUAGCAAAUUCUUCAUCUAAAAAACAAGAUGAGGCUCCCGAAUCUAAUAAAGCAGAGGCUUUGUAAUUCUUAGGUCCUAAAUAUAAGUCUAUUAUAAAACAAGGAGAGGGUUCUGAGGAGAGGAUAGGACCUUCAUUAGGAAUUGUACAAGGUUCCAGCUGCACGGUCCCUAUUGUAGCUGGACGUACUCGUUUUCCGACAUACUGUCUUCUUUGACAGCCGUACUCCUCAUUUUGUAGUUACGUCGCUUCUUUGGACAAUGUUGAGCAGUGUGCUUAGGUUCUCCACAAUAUAAGCACAAUUCUUCUUGUCGACGACGAGACUUUUCUUGCUCAGUAAGAGGUUUGAAACGUACCGCAUCAAUUUGCAUAUCCUCUACUUCUGAAGGUAUGUGUUGAGGAGACGUCGGUGUUGCCAUUGAAUUGUAGUAACAUUGAGGCCCACUUGUGCGACUCUCGGAUCGAAAUUCAAAAAGUCGAUUGUUGCACUUCACAGCAAAGUCAAUUGCUUGACUCAAUGUUUGAGGAUCAGGUAAAUUAAGCAUCAAUUUCUUUACCUCAUAUUGUAAUCCGUAGAGAAAUUGACUCACAAGUGCGGCAUCAUCCCACUUGAUAUCAGUUGCAAGUUGUCGAAAUUGCGAAGCAUAUAAUGUUACUGAUCGAUUGCCUUGUCGCAAAAUACGGAUCUUGUUGGUUGCAACACGAAUUGCAUCAUGUUCUCCAAACAUGGAUCGAAACUCCGCCAAAAAAGCCUCCAGAUUAUCCAAUAUUGGAUCUCGUCGUUCAAGAAAAGAUGAAAACCAUGACAAUGCUGAACCUGAAAGAAGUGUACCAAUGAAUCUUACUUGUGACCCUGGAGUUGGAUAGCUCUGGGGUUGAAGUUCAAUCACUAGUUGGACCUGAUUGAUGAAUCCUCGAAACUUGGAUCUGGUACCAUCAAACUUCUCGGGCAAGGCAACUCUCGGUUCUCUAACACUCGAAGGGUGUUCCAUUCUGGGAGAAGGGACAUGGUUUGGUGCAGAUGUUGAAGCAGCCCCAAUCAUCUCUAUAUCUUCACUUCCUACCAUUCUUGUUGCUCCUUGUGGUGGUAAAUUGAGUUGAUGCAUCGCAAGCAUUAACUCCCUCAAUUGUUCUUGCAUCUGUGCCAUUGCACUCUUCAUUUCAACAAGCUCUGCCAUAGUAGCACUUAGAAAAGAGAAGAUGUCUAAUAACGCUCAAAACAAAUAGAAGAGAGGAAUUGAUAACAAAGAAAAUACUAAGAACAAUAUCAGUUUAAAAGAGGGUAAUCCGCAACUUCUAAUGCGCUUAUGUCUUAUCAAGAAAAAGGGGUAAUCCACUCUUAAUCAAGAAAAGACAAAGCUCUGAUAUUGUAAGUGUACUCUUGUCAAUCUGUCAAGGACAAGAACUCGAUGAAAGCUAAAGAGUAAGUGAGACUUUUCUCAAAAAGAAAUAGGACAAAAUAGAAAUAUGUAUAUUAAGAAAGAAACUGGAAUGGCUAUUGCCAAAAUACAAGAAAACUAGAGACCCUUGAAACUAGACUAGAAGCAAGAAAGGAGUUGACAAGAGUGAAGAGGGCUUCACUCUUGCCUCUAUAUAUAUUAUCUAACUAGAAGCCACGUGGCGAUGUUCUAUAAGACCUCCAAUAUAUGUUGACUUUCUAGGCCACAUGCCUUUGCUUGCAAGGCAAGUUUUCUAUGGAUGGACCACGUAGUUAGCUUGUUCUUUAAGCUUCCAACAUGCGUGGCACAUGGCUAACUUGUUGACCAAGUUUCUAACCUAAAAGUCAACUAUAGACUCCUAUAAAGUCAAAGCAGCGUCUAUGAAGCUUCUAAGAAGCUUCUCUAGAAGAUAUUACAUAAUUAACCUACUUUUAUCUACUUUUACAUACUUUUAUCUAUUCAUAUAGGUAAUUAUAUGUAUGUCCGUGACAUCCAUCUAAUAUUUCUUUAAGAAUUCUUAUUGUUUGU
Molecule: long non-coding RNA, 6425 nt
Filed under: Physcomitrium patens
Lineage: Eukaryota; Viridiplantae; Streptophyta; Bryopsida; Funariales; Funariaceae
Description: long non-coding RNA (PPAT_LNC001654)
Source: RNAcentral